RNAcentral lists this microRNA precursor (62 nucleotides) under Otolemur garnettii (small-eared galago). Its description in RNAcentral is "microRNA oga-mir-212 precursor". Its record names the gene oga-mir-212. Lineage: Eukaryota; Metazoa; Chordata; Mammalia; Primates; Galagidae. The record is from miRBase by way of RNAcentral.
ACCUUGGCUGUAGACUGUUUACUGCCUGGGCCUCCCUCAGUAACAGUCUCCAGUCACGGCCA